GUGGGGAAUUUUGCGCAAUGGGCGAAAGCCUGACGCAGCAACGCCGCGUGGAGGAUGAAGGCCUUCGGGUCGUAAACUCCUGUCGGGGGGGACGAAAGUCCCGCGCAAGCGGGGCCUGACUGUACCCUCGGAGGAAGCCACGGCUAACUCCGUGCCAGCAGCCGCGGUAAUACGGAGGUGGCAAGCGUUGUUCGGAAUUACUGGGCGUAAAGGGCGCGUAGGCGGCUUGGCAAGUCAGAUGUGAAAGCCCCGGGCUUAACUCGGGAUCUGCAUCUGAAACUGCUUUGCUCGAGUCUUGGAGGGGGUAGUGGAAUUCCCAGUGUAGCGGUGAAAUGCGCAGAUAUUGGGAGGAACACCUGUGGCGAAGGCGGCUACCUGGACAAUGACUGACGCUGAGGCGCGAAAGCUAGGGUAGCAAACGGGAUUAGAAACCCGUGUAGUCC
This 443-nucleotide ribosomal RNA is filed under the name uncultured bacterium. RNAcentral's name for it is "bacterial SSU rRNA". It matches the Rfam family "Bacterial small subunit ribosomal RNA", at positions 354 to 796 of the family's 1533-position model. The record is from RNAcentral.